RNAcentral lists this unclassified non-coding RNA (21 nucleotides) under Chlamydomonas reinhardtii. RNAcentral describes it as "small RNA Cre_0012". Lineage: Eukaryota; Viridiplantae; Chlorophyta; Chlorophyceae; Chlamydomonadales; Chlamydomonadaceae. The record is from RNAcentral.
AAAAUCGCGCCUAUAGAGCCC